Molecule: long non-coding RNA, 163 nt
Organism: Maniola jurtina (meadow brown)
Lineage: Eukaryota; Metazoa; Arthropoda; Insecta; Lepidoptera; Nymphalidae
Exons: 3
Source: RefSeq, a predicted model, not a curated record
GGAAAUACACAAGAAAUAGGAAAUAUAUUAUUGAAACGCACCAUUGCCACGUAAUGCUCAUAUAAUCAUACGAGUGGUUAUAAUAUAAUAUGUACUAUUUGCUGUAACAUUCUAAUUUUAGAGAAUACUACGAUUUGUGAAUCACUAUGCUGUGUCGCGUUUC